RNAcentral lists this ribosomal RNA (270 nucleotides) under uncultured archaeon. RNAcentral's name for it is "partial 16S ribosomal RNA". It matches the Rfam family "Archaeal small subunit ribosomal RNA", at positions 477 to 747 of the family's 1478-position model. The record is from RNAcentral.
CAGCUCUCCGAGUGGUAGGGAUGAUUGUUGGGCUUAAAGCGUCCGUAGCCGGCUUAGCAAGUCUCCUGUUAAAUUCAGCGACCUAAUCGUUGAGCCGCGGGAGAUACUACUAGGCUAGGAGGCGGGAGAGGCCGACGGUACUUCCGGGGUAGGGGUGAAAUCCUAUAAUCCCGGGCGGACCACCAGUGGCGAAGGCUGUCGGCUAGAACGCGCUCGACGGUGAGGGACGAAAGCUGGGGGAGCGAACCGGAUUAGAGACCCGAGUAGUCC